Molecule: ribosomal RNA, 382 nt
Filed under: uncultured marine Chaetocerotaceae
Lineage: Eukaryota; Bacillariophyta; Thalassiosirophyceae; Chaetocerotales; Chaetocerotaceae
Description: SSU rRNA
Rfam family: Eukaryotic small subunit ribosomal RNA
Source: RNAcentral
AGCUUCAGUAGCGUAUAUUAAAGUUGUUGCAGUUAAAAAGCUCGUAGUCGCAUUUCUGGCGAGAGGAUCCGGUCCGACCUUUUGGUGGGUUCUUGGGUCUCUUUCGCCAUCCUUGAGUGGUCCGUUCUGGCAUUAGGUUGUCGGAGCGUCAGCCGCUCAUCGUUUACUGUGAGAAAAUUAGAGUGUUCAAAGCAGGCUUAUGCCGUUGAAUAUAUUAGCAUGGAAUAAUAAGAUAGGACCUCGGUACUAUUUUGUUGUUUUGCGCACCAAGGUAAUGAUGAAUAGGGACAGUUGGGGGUAUUUGUAUUUCGUUGUCAGAGGUGAAAUUCUUAGAUUUACGAAAGACAAACUACUGCGAAAGCAUUUACCAAGGAUGUUUUCA